RNAcentral lists this ribosomal RNA (497 nucleotides) under uncultured bacterium. Its description in RNAcentral is "partial 16S ribosomal RNA". It matches the Rfam family "Bacterial small subunit ribosomal RNA", at positions 28 to 507 of the family's 1533-position model. The record is from RNAcentral.
GAUGAACGCUGGCGGCGGGCCUAAUACAUGCAAGUCGAGCGAACAGAGGAAGAAGCUGCCUCCUUGACGUUAGCGGCGCACGGGUGAGUGACAUGUGGAUAACACAGCUUGAAGGCGGGGGAAACCUCGGGAAACCGGUGCCAAUAACGGAUAAUAGACUCAAGCGCAAGGAGGAGUAGUGAAAGGCGGCUUGGCUGUGACUGAGAGCAGGUGCCGCGCCGCAUUAGCUAGUGGGUAAGGUAACGGCUUACCAAGGCGACGAUGCGUAGCAGAUCUGAGAGGGUGACCAGCCACACUGGAACUGAGACACGGUCCAGACUCCUACGGGAGGCAGCAGUGGGGAAUCUUCCGCAAUGGGCGAAAGCCUGAUGCAGCCAUGCCGCGUGUGUGAUGAAGGCCUUCGGAUCGUAAAGCUCUGUUAUUGGGGAAGAACGAAUGUGUGUGAAUCUCUGCGCGUAUUGACGGUACCUGAACAGAAAGCCCCGGCUAACUACGUG